Megalobrama amblycephala (Wuchang bream) is the source of this 924-nucleotide long non-coding RNA. RefSeq lists it as uncharacterized. The record is from RefSeq and is a predicted model, not a curated record. Lineage: Eukaryota; Metazoa; Chordata; Actinopteri; Cypriniformes; Xenocyprididae. The transcript is spliced from 2 exons.
AUCGUUGUCGUGUAAACGUACACUUAGUCUAUCCACCUUAUUUUUCAACGUGUUUUCUGUGAAUGUGCGAGACUUCAGAUUUAUUAUCCGCUAUACGGAAAUAACGAGAAGAAUAUCAAAGUGCAGUAAACUAUAAAAACAGUGGCUUGUGCGUUGUAAAAGAAUGCUUAUGCGCAGGCGCGUAGUCUUUCUUUACAAAGUGACAUCGCCAACUACUUGUCUGGCAUGUGUAAUACAGCGUUUUCGUGGAUUCGUGUGAACGGGGAUCGUUUUAAUAACGUUGUCAUCUGUACAAAGAAAGCAUUUUUCCGUUUUUAGUACGUCUUUGUCGUGUAAACAUACCCUAAAUCUAAACUUGAAUAAAGUAAAUUAGGUAGUUAGGUAACUAACACCAACAAAAGAGUCAGACAAGGUAGCUCCUCUUCACACGUUUUCUCUUGCACGUGAUCUUUGCGAUACACUAAACUUACGCUGAACUUCAUCCACAUGGAAACGCAUCCACUUCACCCAAUGUAAGCAAAGUAUUAAGAUCAUUUGCAUUGACAGAACUAGUCUCAGUGCUUUACUUGUCUUUAUAACCUUGUCAGUUUAGUGUUUGAUGUACUCUUAAUGACAGUACAGCAGACAACAACUAUGUUUGUCAUCAUUUCCAUCUGCAUAUCGAUCAUUGGUGUUCAAGGCUCAAAUGGACAAGUGACAGUUACUCAAACUCCUCAAGUCCAAACCUCUCAACUUGAUGAAACGGUCAAAAUAAACUGCAAAACCAACUCACCUGUUGCUGACUGUAGUCUCUGGAGGAACUGUGUGUCCUGGUACCAGCACAAACCUGGACAUGCUCCCAAACUCCUCAUUUAUUACAUACGCGAACGUCACACAAACGUCCCAUCUAGAUUCAGCGGCAAUGGCGCUCACACUGACUUCAAU